CCCGGGCCUUGUACACACCGCCCGUCACGUCAUGAAAGCUGGCAACACCCGAAGCCGGUGGGCCAACCCGCAAGGGGGGCAGCCGUCGAAGGUGGGGUUGGUGAUUGGGACG
Molecule: ribosomal RNA, 112 nt
Filed under: uncultured bacterium
Lineage: Bacteria
Description: partial 16S ribosomal RNA
Rfam family: Bacterial small subunit ribosomal RNA
Source: RNAcentral